This is a non-coding RNA of Acanthosepion pharaonis, 107 nucleotides long. The record is from the annotation of a GenBank genome assembly. NCBI's taxonomy places the organism in Eukaryota, Metazoa, Mollusca, Cephalopoda, Sepiida, Sepiidae.
AGCCACAUCACACUGAAACACCAGAUCCCAUACGAACACUGAAGUUAAGCAACAUCAAGCUUGGUCAGUACUUGGAUGGGUAAUCGCUUGGGAAUACCAGGUGCUAU